RNAcentral lists this ribosomal RNA (550 nucleotides) under Bacillus cereus. Its description in RNAcentral is "bacterial SSU rRNA". It matches the Rfam family "Bacterial small subunit ribosomal RNA", at positions 51 to 581 of the family's 1533-position model. The record is from RNAcentral. Lineage: Bacteria; Bacillati; Bacillota; Bacilli; Caryophanales; Bacillaceae.
AUACAUGCAAGUCGAGCGAAUGGAUUAAGAGCUUGCUCUUAUGAAGUUAGCGGCGGACGGGUGAGUAACACGUGGGUAACCUGCCCAUAAGACUGGGAUAACUCCGGGAAACCGGGGCUAAUACCGGAUAACAUUUUGAACCGCAUGGUUCGAAAUUGAAAGGCGGCUUCGGCUGUCACUUAUGGAUGGACCCGCGUCGCAUUAGCUAGUUGGUGAGGUAACGGCUCACCAAGGCAACGAUGCGUAGCCGACCUGAGAGGGUGAUCGGCCACACUGGGACUGAGACACGGCCCAGACUCCUACGGGAGGCAGCAGUAGGGAAUCUUCCGCAAUGGACGAAAGUCUGACGGAGCAACGCCGCGUGAGUGAUGAAGGCUUUCGGGUCGUAAAACUCUGUUGUUAGGGAAGAACAAGUGCUAGUUGAAUAAGCUGGCACCUUGACGGUACCUAACCAGAAAGCCACGGCUAACUACGUGCCAGCAGCCGCGGUAAUACGUAGGUGGCAAGCGUUAUCCGGAAUUAUUGGGCGUAAAGCGCGCGCAGGUGGUUU